Molecule: small RNA, 1612 nt
Filed under: Histoplasma ohiense
Lineage: Eukaryota; Fungi; Ascomycota; Eurotiomycetes; Onygenales; Ajellomycetaceae
Description: hypothetical lncRNA
Source: RNAcentral
CCAAGCGUCAAUCAGACGGCGAACCUGGGUUAAAAAGGCUUGGGAUUCUGGGUCCAUGUCUUUGGUGUUGACAUCCAUGAUUUUUGCGAUGCCAGGCUCACUCUCUGCUAAUUUCUCCAUCGCCUGUUUUUCCUCGAGGCGUGACAGAUAUGGCAGCCCCUCUACAAACGGUGCUUCCAUUCGGAAUCCAUUUUUCAUCAAAAACUGGACAGCUUUGUUUAUUCAGUAAAACCUCAUUCAUUGGUGGUGGAACAGUAAAAUUUGCCUGUUGAUAUGGGGAUACAAACCACGGCUUUGAUACGACCAUCGUCUUUCAACCCCUAAUUUUUCGUCAAGCACGGGAUUCAAGUGGAGGUUAUAAGGCCGUAACACAUAGGUUCCUAUUAUUCCUAUUUAGCAUCAAACCCAAAGUUUGGUCAACCGCGCACGAUCACUCUGACCAGUCUCCGUGUCCUCCCUUGCAAAGGUCAAGCCAAUUUGCAACACCUGAUAGGUCUCAGCUGCAUAUUUAACUUCCUCGUAUCUUGCCUGAAGAGUUUGUUUCUCUCCCCACAGAUCGCUUCCGGGAUUAGGGCCAGACUGUCUUGCGACGAUUCCGGAAAACUCUAGGUCUAGGGCAACGAAAGUGGACUCGGCCAGGUCAUUUAGUAGUCUAGGUAGAUGCUGGCUAAACGAUUGCAUUGUCACGUCCAUAUUUGAUAAACACGCAGGUUCAGAUAUGGAAAAUUGAGCAAAUGGGACACAGAAAGCCAGGGAGAGUUGGGGGUUCCUCAGGGCUCACUCAUGGAUUAAAAGGAAUGAGAAACCUAGGGGAAAUGAAAGAGAUUGAAUGAGAGAAAUGGAUGAAAAUGGAAACCAGUUUAGAACAUGUCAGUCUGUGUUCAGAACCCAGGAGAUAAGCAACACAAACAAGAGAUGGGGAUUGUCCUCUUCCUAUGUAAGAGGGGUUGUGAUGAUUUGGUAUUGUCGCUGGUUAAGAAGUCGCCCAGCAGUGUGACCUCAGUUUCCCACCAGAUCUAGCAGGAAGUGAUAAAAGAUCCUUUUGUCUGCACCACAAUUGCAGGCGAUCUUGGGCAGGAGACAAUGGAUUUGAAUUCUCUUGUUGUGGUAACUUAAAGACUAAAGAUGCAGGCGCCAGGCGUGGAUAAGUUACAGAGACAAAUGUCCCAAAUGUGAGUAGCUUCAGUCAAGCCGCCCUUUCCAGAGAGCUCCCUACCAUUGGGCUUCUUUGCUCUCUUCAAAGUUCAAACCACACGGUCUCUUGGUGAUCGACUAGGUCAGUCGUACAGACGGUGAGCGAGAGCGAAUGGGAAAAUCUAGCCCCGCUGUGUUUGCUCACACCUAUCCCCAGCAAGCUCUUACUGCGCAGAUCAGAUACCCCAUCCAGAUCAGAGGAAGUUGUGAUAUUCAAGUGCUUUACCGCUAGGCUAAACGGUGGAUUCUCUAUUUAGCACAGCUUUUAAGCUCAAUUUUCUUUCACGCCUUGAGGUCUAACAGAAACAGAACUUGACAACUGGUGACUUAGAACACUGAGUUCAAUCUGAGUUUUCAUCAAGACAAAUGCAUGAACAACUCAACAAAUUAGAGUCAGGAAAUUUCCAAAAUAGAAUAA